Molecule: long non-coding RNA, 810 nt
Organism: Trachymyrmex cornetzi
Lineage: Eukaryota; Metazoa; Arthropoda; Insecta; Hymenoptera; Formicidae
Exons: 4
Source: RefSeq, a predicted model, not a curated record
GUAAUUAUUGGUCAUGAAUUGAUGGGAAAAGAAGAUUUAUUUAAUGUUCCUUGUCCAUCUUUGUUAUUUGGAAUUUAUACUGUGCACAUAUGCUCAGAGCUAAAAUCGUGGCCAUUACAAGACGUCAUAAAAAAAUAUGUUAAAUUACCAUAUGAAAAAAACAAAUAUGCAGUUUUUCCACUGAUACACAUGAUAUAAUAUGUAUCUUGAUACAAACAGAAUGGCCCAGAAAUUUUACGCAAUCGUUGAAUUUGAAGAUGGACUUCAAGUAGUUCCAAGUAAUUGGUUAGACAUAAGUGUCAUGAAAACCGUGUGGCCACAUUUCCUUAGCGAUAGCAGAUAUUACAAAGCCGUAAAGUAUAUGGAGACACCGGAAUCAACUUGGAAACAAUAUACCGUUUUAAAAAUCUAUGGGACAUAUCAAAAUUAUGAAGUCGCAAGAAGAAAAUUGAAACAAGCUGAGGAAAUAUCCGAUCUUAUAAUAAUACUUCUGGUACAGAACAAGACGAAGUACAGAAAAAGUCUAGGAAAAUCAGAGCUGCUAAAGACUUAUCAACAAGCGAAGAAGAAUCAGCAGAUGACAGUAGUUUUACGAUAGAUGUCCCUAAAAUUACGAGUGUUUUCAUCGAAAGAGAUUAUAACUCCAAUAAACAUGCAAAAUGUGCUAACACAGUGAAAGAAACUUCCAUGUCGUCUUAUCACAACAAAAAAGGAGAGAAGGCUGAAUGUCAAUAUAUUCCACAAAAUUUAUCAUUGAACAAGAAAUAAUGAAGAAGCAUAAUAAUAACAGCAGUAAUGGUACAGAUCUCG